UACGUAGGUGGCAAGCGUUAUCCGGAUUUACUGGGUGUAAAGGGCGUGUAGGCGGGGACGCAAGUCAGAUGUGAAAACCACGGGCUCAACCUGUGGCCUGCAUUUGAAACUGUGUUUCUUGAGUACUGGAGAGGCAGACGGAAUUCCUAGUGUAGCGGUGAAAUGCGUAGAUAUUAGGAGGAACACCAGUGGCGAAGGCGGUCUGCUGGACAGCAACUGACGCUGAGGCGCGAAAGCAUGGGGAGCAAACAGG
This 253-nucleotide ribosomal RNA is filed under the name uncultured bacterium. RNAcentral's name for it is "partial 16S ribosomal RNA". It matches the Rfam family "Bacterial small subunit ribosomal RNA", at positions 524 to 776 of the family's 1533-position model. The record is from RNAcentral.